GAGAAAGACCUUCCAAAUUUAUAAAGAUACUUAAACCAAUUAUAAUCAUUGAGUUAUCAAUUUCGGGCUGUAGUGCAGUGGGUUAAGCGCAGGUGGCACAAAGCACAAGGACCGGCAUAAGGAUCCGGGUUCGAACCCCGGCUCCCCACCUGCAGGGGAGUCACUUCACAGGCGGUGAAGCAGGUCUGCAGGUGUCUAUCUUUCUCUCCUCCUCUCUGUCUUCCCCUCCUCUCUCCAUUUCUCUCUGUCCUAGCCAACAACGACAACAACAAUAACUACAACAAUAAAACAACAAGGGCAACAA
This is a long non-coding RNA of Erinaceus europaeus (western European hedgehog), 304 nucleotides long. RefSeq lists it as uncharacterized. NCBI's taxonomy places the organism in Eukaryota, Metazoa, Chordata, Mammalia, Eulipotyphla, Erinaceidae. The transcript is spliced from 2 exons. The record is from RefSeq and is a predicted model, not a curated record.